AUCUCCAUUGUUCUACCCUUUUCCCAAACAUACAAUUACACAAUCUUUCCCCAAUGUCAAGCCCAACUCACAUCUCUCACCAAAAGAUCUCAAGAACGCCCUGCACACAAAACUCUUUUCUUUGAAAUCUCAUAAGGAUUUUUCUUAACUUCAAAACAAAACUUAGCUCUAAACAGUUUUGCUAACCCCCUUUCUUCCUUUUUUCUCUUU
This 210-nucleotide long non-coding RNA is filed under the name Brassica napus (rape). RNAcentral's name for it is "long non-coding RNA (BNAP_LNC023023)". The record is from RNAcentral. Lineage: Eukaryota; Viridiplantae; Streptophyta; Magnoliopsida; Brassicales; Brassicaceae.